CUACAUAGACUGAUGAGAAAAGAUUAAAAAAUAUACAGAGUAGAACAAUAUUGAUAAUAUGUAUAGAAAAAUUAAUUCCCUAGAAAGGCACAGAAAAUGUCUGAAAGAACACCACACACACACACACACACACACACACAUGUAUAUAUUACAACUCUUAUGAAUUAUUCUAAGAAGUUCAUACAGGAUAUUGGCAAGAUAAGCCAAGAGUUUGACUUUGUCUCUAUUGCUUGAACAUAUUACCAUGAACAUGUAUUCUAUGUUAUAAAAUUUUUAAAGAAUCUUUAGUAACAUGGGACAAUUCAUAGUUUGGCUUUGGAAUGUCCCCCCAAGGCCCAUGUAUUAAUGGUUUAGUCCUCAGCUUGGUGCUUUGGAGAACUGGCAGAAUCAUUAAGAGGGGGUGCCUAGUGGAAGGUCUUGGGUCAUCUGGGAUAGCCCUUGAAGGGGAAAAUGUAACCCUAACCUGUUAUCUCUUUUUCACUCUGGCCAUGAGGUGAGGGCUUCCUCUACCACAUGCUUCUUCCUUGCUGCAGACCCAAAAGUAAUGGACCAGCAACCAUGAACUAAAACUUCCAAAACAAGGAACCAAAAGAAAUCUUUUCCCUUCUUGAUUAUCUCAGGUAUUAAGUUACAACAAUGAAAAGCUGACUAACAGGUGAUAUUUAGAAUUUAUAGUUAACUGGAAAAACAAAUUAUAAAACAAUAAGUUAAACAUCCUACUUUGGAAAAUAAAAUAAUAUCUAUGCAAAGAAAAAAGAUUGGCUGAUAUAUACCAAAAACAUUAGCAAUGCCUUCAAAGUGGAAGGAUUUGGGUAAUUUUUAUUGUUCUGUACUAAUCUCUUUUAUAGAUACUUUAUAGUGGGCAUGCAUUAUUUUUGUGAUCAGAAAAAGCUUUAAAAGUCACAUCAGGAUUUAUGAAUUUCUGUGCAUAGAUCUCUGUAAGAUAUUUUUAAUUUUCUGGAGCUUUUGCUUUUCUUUCCCCAAAGCUUUGCACCACUCUUCUCUCUUUCUCCCACUCCAGUCACCUUUUUCACCUUUUUCAUGUUUGUCUCGUCAGGUAUUGCUUAUAAAAUAGAUGUACUUCACUAAUACCUCUGAAAGAAGAAAUUUCUGGUUCAUGGAGCCAGAAGACAAUUGGAUACAAAAAAGAAAAAUAUUUCUUUCUUUCACCAAAUAUCAGUCAUGCAAAUUUAAUCCUAGAAUUUCUCCUCCAUAUAUGACCAAUUUAAUUUUUAUUUUGUUUAAAAUAAGCAGCAAAUAAUUUUGAGGUCCUUCAAAUUCUUUCAAAGUCAUUUAUAUAAUUAUACUCAGCUUUGUUUCAGAAAGGAUUUAGAGUAGCUAGUAAAAACACUAAAGUUCAAAAAAUAAAUAAAAUACAAAGUAAAAUGUAAAAUGAGAGAGUGAAGAAAGCAGAACAAGGAAAAUGUGACAGAAUGAGAGGGAAAAUAAAAUUAUAAGAUGAAAUCUAUUCCUUAGGGGCCAGUACUCUCCUUGAGAGGGUUCACUAGCUUUUGUAAGCAACCCCUUAACUUCCCUUCCCACGAAAAGAGAUUGUAAUUGGAGUGGAUCACACUUUCCUAAGACUAAAAGCCAGAAGGAAAUUACUCCAGUGCAUGAUACAUGUUUAGACAAUAAUAAUGACAGCAACAUCUAUUGAGGCUUCCUGUGAGUCAAGUGCAGUGCCAAGCUCCGUAAGCCAUGAUUUUAUUUACUCUUCAUAAUGACCCCAUUUUUAAUGGGUUUGUUAGUUAGCUUUCCAUUACUAUAACAAACAUUUGAGAUAAUCAACUUAUAAAAAGAAAAGGUUUAUUUUGGCUUAUAAUUUUAGAAGUUUCAGUGAGAAAAGGUUUAUUUUGGCUUAUAAUUUUAGAAGUUUCAGUCCAUGAUUUGGUGGCCCCGUUGCUUUGAACCAGUGGCAACACAUCACAGCAAGAGUGUGUGGCCAAGCAAAAACACUUCACCGCUGGGAAGUGAAAGAGAAGAAGAGGAAGACCAAGGUUCCCAUAAUUUCCUUUGAGGGCACAUCCCCAGUGACCUAAAGAUCACUAGGCUCCACCUCUAAAAGAUUCCACCUCCUCCUCCUAAUAGCACCAAGCUGGGGAUCAAGUCUUUUAACAGGUGGACCUUUGUGGGGACAUUUAAGAUCCAUACUGUAGCAGUGGGGAACAUUUAUUGCUGCUUCUCAUGUUUCCACCAUUGAUAGUUUGGGGAAGAAGCUGAUUUCUAAUUAACUUCCUAGGAAGAAAACAUCUGGGAGGACCUACCUGAGCUCCUCAGUUUUGCCCUCCCCCCUUACUUCUUCCUUCUCAGAAGGAGUUUGAUCGAGUUUGCGAAUUUAAGAAAUGAAAUGAGCAACUGCAGUUCCUCUAGCCUAAGUGGAUCUCUGCUCCUCCAUUCACUACCUUUGCUCUGAGAGCUCUGCCUCUGUACUUCUGGGAUGUUGAUGUUUUUCUCAAUUCAGGUUUAUCAGCAGUAAACCUGGCCUUGUCCACAAGCUGUUAUCUGAAACUUUUGGGGCCAGGUGAGUUUUAAAAUACAGAAUUUUCAGAUUUUGGAGAGAUUGUAUGGUUCACAAACAGAUUUUGAAGCAACAUCCUAUCAAACAUAUUAGGAUUUCUGUAAUAAAGGAUAUGAAUAUCCACACCAAGUGAAAUAAAUUAAGACUAUAUCAUAUCAAUUCAGAUCACGUUUUACUGUCAGAUGAAUUCAGAUGAUAUUAAAUUUUGAUGCCAAAUAAAUUACAAAAGCACUUUAAAUUUUUAGAGAUGUUUAGAUUUUGGAAUUAUAGAUAAGGGAUAUUUGGCUGUCUUUUGAUCUCCAACUGUCUGACUUCUGUGUCUACUUUCUCUUAUUGGUUCUUGGCUUGGAGAGUGAAAGAAGGCCAGAGUGAAUACACCAAAAAGGUAAGGAAGCUUCAAUUUUAGCCAUCCUCAGUUGUACAGGCCUUUUCUUUAUACCCACAACUUAUAAGUUUAAAUUUUUUUUCUUAAAAAUAUAAAUUUUAGGGGCUGGGGCUAUGACUCAGUGGUAGCACACUUGCCUGGCAUGUGUGAGGCACUGGGUUUGAUUCUCAGCACCAUGUAUAAAUAAAUAAAAAUAAAGGUCUAUCAACAACUAAAAUAUUUCAGGGCCCACAGAGAAAGAUAUAUCACCCUUGGAGAAAGGUAUGAUUGCCUUCCCUGAAAUUCUGAUGGCCAGAAAGUAGUUACUAUUAUCAUCACCAUCUUACUUGUGUAUGUGUACAGACUGAGGCUUAAGAGCUUAAAUCCCCUAGCAUCCAGUUACAAGUGACAAAGUCUAGUUUUAAACCCAGACGGUGUAACUUUUGGGUUUGUGCCUUUAAUCACUGCCUUUCUCUAUCUGUGGAUAAAUAUAAUAGUUGACAUUCUAUUUCUAGCUAAAGUAAAUCCUAGAGUGUCGCGACCCCUUGCCCGCAAGGAAGACGCAACUCAGGAAUCUUCUUUCAGCAGUUUAUUCAGGCCCUGGAUAUUUCUUCUUCUUUUUCUCGGGUGCCCCUCCCAGCCUUAAUAAAGCAUCCCAAGCCCCAAUGCAAAGCUGCCGCGUGGAACUUUCUCACAGGGUGAUGAAAAAUCAUGUGCCAACUUUCCCAGAUAAGAAGUUGUUUGUCACAGACCACAGCGGAGCCAGCGCCAUCUUGUAAUGGCGACCAUAAUCUGCAGAAACGGCAGAAGCGGCUCACCACAGUUCCCCCUUUUCUGUUUUCUUAAAACAAUACAGGCGAGAGUAGAGGUCCUAUCCCACUGUGCAGAAGUGGCUGCAUAGUAUGGCUCAGUCCCAAGGAGGGCCCUUCCCCAGAUCUGAGGCCAUAUCAGCCGACGCCUUUUUUCGUGGGGCGGGGCGUGAACGCGUCUAACCCGCAUGCAAUAGGACAUGCUCUCCUUGAGGUCCUCUUCAAGGAUCACUCAAGUGCAGUGCCUUGCCUCGCAUCCUGUAUCGUGACGAUGGUGGACGAAGGGGGAUAGCUGAGGCUGAACUGUGGCUGUUUAUAACGACAAACAAGUUGACAGCACCCUGAAAGAAAGGCACGAACUUCAAGGCGAUAGAAAAGUACUAGUGUGGAAACCCAUCUGCGUGCAAUGGCAGUAAGACCGGCAGAGUGCAAGGGCUUUCCAACACUAAGAGAAUAACAAGGAAAGUCAUGUCGAUCCCAGUGCAAUGUUAUAAUAACUUGGGGUGUAACGACCAUGACAAAGGUUUACUGCUUAAGAUGCGCAAGCCAGACUUGAGGCGAGUUGCCAUUUUCUAAAGCUGCAAGAGCUUGUAUGAUCAUAGCCUUUUCUUGUGCAUGGCGAGUUUUAAGGCGACAGAGAAGCCACAAACAAAGUACAACACUGAAGCAACACAUUGCACCAAAAAUGCCUAUUCCCACCCACUCUUUGAAGAAGGAAAAAGCAGAAGAUAUCCAAUCGGUGAAUUGACCCAAAGUCACNCUGUAAGGCAACCACGGACCAUUUUCCAAAGGGGUAUCACCCCACCCUCUAAUAUGCCCUGCUCAGAAGCAAAGUCAAGAUCUUUGCCUAAUUUAUCCCAACUAGGCACAGUAAGGCUGCCCGAAAAUGCAAACCACGGUGCAGCGAUAUCUAUCUUCUGUAAAAAUCUCUGUAAAGUACUAUGUUUCACUUCCAGUCCCUUGGAACGUAACAGGCCAUCUAGGGCCAGGAGAAGCGGACUUGAAGAUGCGGCACCCAUGACACAACAACAAAGGAAGCACAAAAAACAGAAAGCGAAAGUAGAAGCGAAAGUACACAGUGCAGCUGCAAUAAAAUGUAAGGCUCUCUCUUUCAUUACAGAGGAGCUGUCCCGCUUUGGUCGCGGAUCCCACUUACUAGGGACUAACCCCGCUUUGAUCGCGGAUCCCACUUAUUGGGACUAACCCCGCUUUGGUCGCGGAUCCCACUUACCUGGGACUAACCCCGCUUUGGUCGCGGAUCCCACUUACCUGGGACUAACCGGUGCACCACCCCUGACUGCUGAAAGUUCUGGUUCCCGGGUCUCGGCACCACUUGUCGCGACCCCUUGCCCGCAAGGAAGACGCAACUCAGGAAUCUUCUUUCAGCAGUUUAUUCAGGCCCUUGAUAUUUCUUCUUCUCCCUCUCUGAUGCCCCUCCCAGCCUUAAUAAAGCAUCCCAAGCCCCAAUGCAAAGCUGCCGCGUGGAACUUUCUCACAGGGUGAUGAAAAAUCAUGUGCCAACUUUCCCAGAUAAGAAGUUGUUUGUCACAGACCACAGCGGAGCCAGCGCCAUCUUGUAAUGGCGACCAUAAUCUGCAGAAACGGCAGAAGCGGCUCACCACACUAGAGAAUAUUCUUUAUCCACAGAAAAAUAACCUAAAGAAUCUUAAUUUCUAUCAUUCUCAGUCUAUAGCCUAAAGUCCUCUAGUAACUCAGAAAAAGUGCAUGUAGUAACCUUCCUUCUCCAGAGAAUCCUGGGGAUUAAAUCCUGUUGGUACAUUACAAUUCUCCUGAUACUGAGCCUUCAAAAUUAAGCAGACUUUCCUCUUUUCCCCAAAAAAUUUCACUCACCAACAUAUUAAGUAUGUUUGAAUUUCAUAAAAUUCAAUCUGAAAGUCAGUGAAACUGUAUACACAGGAUCCUCUAACAUUUCCAUAAUAGUGAAUGGUCUCAAGUUUUUAUUUCUCUACAUAACUCUAUACAACAACCCUAUGAGAAAUGGAAAGCACCAAAUACCCACACUUUAUAAAUGAUAAAACUGAGGACCAAAGGAAGUAAUUUUACUAGUUGGCAAAAUUGGCAACCAAGCCUGGGACAUUUUCCCCUUACUAUAACCAUGUCUUUUUUAUAUAAAUGCUUGAGGGACUUGUUUCUCCUAAGGGGGAAAGUAGAAGAUGGUUUAUCUAAACAGCAUCAACUGUGGACAUGGUAGUUACAACUUGUUUCAUGCAUUACUUUAUCUGCUGAUGAAUUUUCCCUCAAACAACAAAACCAUUCACACUGUUUUUUUUUUUUAAAUUUUAUUCCCAGAUUCUCCAACUGGAAUAAGAGACCAAUAAGGAAAAUUUUGUUUUACUCCUCAUAAUUACAAUAAUGAUUAAAUACAUUUUAUUAUGAAAGUAAAUAAAAUUACAGAGAAUAAUAAGAGGAUAACAAUGAUAUCCAUCACCCAGCUAUAACACACCUUAACAUUUUGCCACUUGUUUCCUUUAGGCUUUUUCUUAAUUAAUAAAGUCCUUAUAAAUGUUCUCCAGUUCCAAUUUUUUCUUCCACUAUCCAGAAGUAACAGUAAUCUGAAUUUUGUAUUUUAAUCCAUAAAUAUUUAAUAAUACUUUUUCAUUUAACAUUUUUAAAUGUAAGUUUUUUAUAUAAGUUUCUCAUUUUAAAACUACCAUUUCACAGUAUGAUUUUUACACUCAGUGUUUUGAGGUUUAUAUUGAAACUUAAAGCUAAGAGAUUUAUGCCUUCAGCUUUUGUGAUACUAUGAAUGAGGUCUUUGUUUCAAGUACAUUUUCUAAUUGGUUAGAGCCAGUAUAUGGGAACUCUAAUGACUUGGAAUCAAAGAACCUUUCUCAACUCAUUUAAUAAUUUACAAUAGUUUAUAGUUUCAUCAAAUUUUCUACAUGGGCAAUCAUCUGAGAAUAAGGACAAGCAAGCAGUUCUAGAAUGAUCAUCUUUCUCAGUGUGAUCUGCUACUCUGCAGAAUAAAAAGCUCACAGGAUAUCUGAUUUCUAAACUAAGAUCACUCUCCAGUACCUACAAACCUAUGUUCGUAUGCAGUUAUUCAGGAUUCUCCUAUUUCCCAUCUUGAAUGCUUUACAAGAUAUAUUAUUCUAAAGAUGCUCUUUUCUUGCUCUGUCACCCAAAUAUUUUAUUUCCCAGAGAUUUCUUGAUUUGACUUCAAACGGAGCACUCUAAAACAAAGAACUGGAAACAAAUGCAAAGCGGUAUUUUUUAUUUCAAGAAAAGCAUAUUACCUCAUUUAAAAACGAUGAGAUUUUUAGAGAAACGUUCUUUAGAUUUAGGAAUCUUCUAAUUAGAUUUCUACAUGAAUAGAUUGAAGCAAAGAUUCUCUUUUUGUUUGUCAACACAAAUUGGAGAAAAAAUAUGAGUUCAACAUCAUCUGCUCUCAUAGAGAAGAAAAGUAAAGAGUCACAUGAAAAUAAAGGUCAAAGACCUAUUAUUAUCUUUUUGGCAUUUAUUCUGACCUCCUAACAUUGCUAGGAAAAAAAGACCAGUAAUCUUAAUAAAGCAAGAGUCUCCUGGGAAAGCAUCGUCUGGUUUCCAUGUGAACAGGAAGCCAGAGCUUUGACUAUGUCCUUCCUUAUUAUUUUGAAAUGACACUGUUAAAAGCUGUUUUCUUUAAACUCUGCACUAUAGAAAACAUUACCAAAUAAAUAUGUGUCAAUUAGUGUUCUUUGGAUGCAAACAAAUAAACCAACUAAACAAAAUGUUACUGGAAAUAUUUUGGGGAUAUACUCUUCAGAAAUUGUUUAUGUAGGCUCCACUGUGUUCCAGUCUUGUUACUCCACUAAAGAUCCAGACCCCUGGAAAAGAGACUGAUUUGCCUGAUUCAUUCCAUGUGUUCCCUCCUUGAUAUGUGUGUUGGUGGCUGAAGGAGGAUACAUUUGCUUUCAUGUCCUUCCAAGACUACAUCUGAUGGUGAAGGGAAAGUUCCCAAGGAAAUCUGGGCUUUCUUAUUCAGGAAGUGGCUGUACAGGAGGGUACAGCACAUGUUCAUUGCAUCCCUUCUGUUGUGUUUUAUAACAAGGCUUAAUACAGAGUCUCCAGGCAGAACCUCCCAGCAGUACCACUGGAGAGGUUUAGGACCCCAGAAAGAGGUGAAUCCAAUGAAAGCAACUGGAGAAUUGGGGGAAGGAAGCUUCCAUCAGGUCCAUAGCAGGCAUCCAGCUGCCAGUAUGAACCCAGUGCUCUAAAGCAGCCUAUCUCACACAUGAGCAAUGGGAAUGGGGCCUUGAAACUGAUGAGAGUGUUCAGUGAGCACUUAGAGGUAGGCUGACCUAGGAAGCUUCCAGGAGAGCAAAAAGAGUGCCCCCCCUCCAGGGUAGACUGACUUCUCUUUCUUUUCCCUCCCUCCCUCCCUCCCUCCCUCCCUCCCUCCCUUCCUUCCUUCCUUCCUUCCUUCCUUCCUUCCUUCCUUCCUUCCUUCCAUUCAGAGCAGGUAGCUCCCCUUAGAGACUUCUUUGGUCCCCAUCUCACAGUUCAGCUCUUAGCUUGAAUACAGAACUCUGUUUUUUUCCUAAAACAUCAUUCCCAGCCAGACACAGUGGCACAGGCUUGUAAUCCUAGUAGCUCUGGAGGCUGAGGAAGGAGGAUCACAAGUUCAAAGCCAGGCUUAGCAACUUAGUGAGGCCCUUAGCAACUUAGUGAGACACUGUCUCAAAAUUUAAAAAUAACAUUAAAAGGGUUGGGGAUAUAGCUCAGUAAUUAAGCACCCCUGAAUUCAAUCCCUAGUACAAAAAAAUCACUCCCAUCAUCCUUGAUUUGCUUCUCUGUUGCUUCUGUUGAUCUUGACUGUAAGGCAGGAAAUGUGCAAAUCUAGAGUAGACUCUGGCAUUCCAAUCAUGGCUCUUCUACCACCUUGCUGGGUGACCUACCUUAUCAGUCCCUGUCCCAGAUGACUUGAGUGACUGCUGCUGCAAUACUUACAGUUUUACUUUUACUUACCUGCCCUCUGUCUUGAUGAGACUUAUUAAGAAACCAAAUCAUAGAAUUAUACCCAUUUCUUGUUAGCGUCCAAUUUAGGGGAAGUCCUAGUCCUUAAAAUCUCUUCCAAAUCACCUAACACAAGACCAAAUUUUAUGACAAAUCCUUUCAAACACCCUUUAUUGAAUCAUUUCACCUUUGCCCAUGCUCUGAGUUUUCUCUCUAUAAUGAGAAAAUAACUUCACCUUUUCAACCAUAGGUGUGUUCCUGGGGCUCUUUAGCUGGAGGGUACUCACACAAUUAUGGGCAUUAAAAUUCAAGUGGUGUAGUUUGGCACCCUGUCUUCCCCACUUACCAUCUAUGUAACCUGAGCCUGGUAUCUGGUAUCUUAACCUCUGUGCCUUAGUUGCUUAUUUGUAAAAUAGAGGAAAUUACUACACUUUGUUCAUUGGAAUGUUGUAUUAGCAUGUAGGCACUUAGCACAGUGCCUGGCACCUAACAAGUUACCAAUAAUAUCAACUUUUUUUUCACUGAUUAUAUUUAUUCAUUUAUUUAUUUAUUUAUUUUGGUACCAGUGAUUGAACCUAGGGGCACUGAGCCCAUUCCCAGUCCUUUUUAUUUUUUUAUUUUGAGACAGGGUCUCACUAAGUUGCUUAGUGCCUUGCUAAGUUGCUGAAGCUGGCUUUGAACUUGCAAUCCUCCUGCCUCAGCCUCCUGAGCCACUGGGACUACAGGUGUAUGCCACCAUGCCCAGCUAAAACUUUUAUAUAUUUUUGAUAGUCAACAUGAUAGUUUGAAAUAUGUAUACACUGUUAAGUGGCUCAAUUCAGCUAUUAUGAGGCAUACUUAUUAUUUUUUGUGAUGAGAACACUUAAAAUAUACUCUCUUGACCAUUUUCAAAAUAUAUUUUUUACUUAGCCAUCAUAUUGUACAAUAUAUUUCUUUUAACUUAUUCCUCCUAUCUAACUGAAAUCUGUAUCCCUUGUCUAAUACCUCUUUUUUUGUUGAAUACAUCUUUUUUAAAAUAUUUUUUUUUAGUUGCUGAUAGACUUUUAUUUAUUUUUAUGUGUUCAUGAGAAUCAAACACAGUGCCUCACAUGCCAGGCAAGUGCUCUCUCACUGAGCCAUGGCCCCAGCCCCUAUCCAAUAUCUAUUUAUAUCCUCACCCCAAGCCCCUCAUAACUAUUAUUCUACUCUACUUCUGUGAGUUCAAUGUUUUCAGAUUCCACAUAUGAGUGAGAUAAUAUGGUAUCUUUCUGUGUUUGACUUGUUUCCCUUUGCAUAAUGUUCUUCAAAUAAUAAUGCUCACAAAUAAUAGAAUUUUCUUUUGUAUUAAGGCUGAAUAAUAUUUCACUGUUUAUAUAUAGCACAUUUUCAUUAUUCAUUAUUUCAUUAUCCAUUAUUCGUUAUUAUCCAUCUGUUAAUGAACAUGUAGGUUGAUUCCAUGUUAUGAAUGAUGAUGUAAUGAAUAUGGGAUUGUAAAUAUCUCAUCAACAUACUGAAUGCAUACCCCCUGGAUUUGUAUCCAGUAGUAGAAUUUCUGUCAUAUGAUGAUUCUAUUUUUAAUUUUUUGAGAAACUUCCAUACUAUUUGCCAUAAUGACCAUACUUGUUUGCAUUUCCUCCAACAGUGUGCCAGAGCUCCCUUUACUGAACAUUCUUGCCAACACUUGUCAUCUUUUCUCUUUUUGACAACAGUCAUUCUAAAAGACAGGAGAUGUUUAUUGUGAUUUUAAUUUAUAUUUCUCUCAUAACUAGUGAUGGUGAAUAUUUUUCAUAUACCCAUUGGCCAUUUAUAUCUCCUCUUUGGGGAAAUGUCUGUUUGAGUGAGAACUCAGCCCAUUUUUAAACUGGAUAUCUUAUAUUCUUGCUAUUGAGUUGUUUCAGUUCCUUUUACAUUUUGAAUAUAACCCCUUAUGGAAUAAAUGGUUUGCAAACAUUAUGACCCAUUCAGUAGUUUGUAUCUUCACUUAAAUGAUUGUUUCCUUUUUUAUAUAAAAGCUUUUUAGUUGAUGCAAUCUGAUAUAUUCUGGCUUUUAUUGUUUAUGCUUUUGUACUCAUAUCUAAAAUAUUAUUGCCCAGACCAAUGUCAUGGAGAUUUCCCCCUAUGUUUUUGUUAUGUUUUAGAUAUGUGAUGUCCUCAAAAGCUCAUGUGUGAGACAAUGCAAGAAUGUUUAGAGUUGUAAUGAUGAGGUGAUGUUGCCUAAUCAGUGGAUUCAUAAACUCAUAUGGACUAAGUGAGUGGUCGCUAUAGGCAGAUGGUAGUGGCUGCAAAAGGGGUCAUAAUUUUGGGGUUUAUAUUUUGUCCCUGGUAGCCGGAGCAUUCUCUCUCACUCUCCUUCUCCCUUCCUCUCUUUUUCUGUCUGUCUCUGCUUCCUGGUUUCCAUGUCCUAAGAUGCCAUCCUCUGCCCAUCCUUUUGCCAUGAUGUUCAGCCUUACCUGUGGCCCAGAGCUGUGGAGUUGGCUGGCCACGGAUUGGACCUCUGAAACCCAUGAGCCAAAAUAAACUUUUCCUCCUCUACAGUGUUCUUGUUGGGUCUUUUUUUGUCACAGCAACAACAACAACAACAAAACAAAACAAAAAAAAUCACAUCAAAAAAAUCCAACAGUUUUUAUUUGGUUGUUUAACAGUUCAGGUCUUACAUUAAAGUCUUUAAUCCAUUUUGAGCUGAUUUUUAUAUAUGACAUGUAAGAUAAAAGUCUAAUUUCUAGUUUCCUUAGCACCACUUAUUGAAGAAAUUGUUCUUUCCACAUUGUGUGUUCUAUACACCUUUGUUGAAAAUCAACUGACUAAUGCAUAGAUUUAUUUCUGAGCUCUCUAUUCUGUUCUGUUGGGCUGUGUGUCUGUUUUUAUGUCAGUACCAUGCUUAUAUGAGUACUGUGACUUUCCAGUAUAUUUUGAGGUUAGGUAGUGUGAUACCUCCAGCUUUGUACUUUUUGUUUAACAUUGCUUUGGUUUUUGGGGGUCUUUUAUGGUUCCAUAUACAGGUUAGGAUUUUUGUUUUGUUUUAGUUUCGUAAAGGAGUUAUUGGAAUUUUGAAAGAAGUUGCAUUGAAUCUUUGACUACUUUUGUAGUAUGGACAUGUUAACAAAAUUCUUCCAAUUCAUGAAUAUGAACAUGUAUUUGUGUAUUCUUCAGUUUCUUUCAUCAAUAUUCAUAGUUUUCAGUAUACAGGUCUUUACAUUUCUUGCUUAGCUUUGUUCUUAAGUUUUGUGGGGUUUUUUUGUAGCUAUUGUGAAUGGGUUUUUUCAAUUUCUUUCUCCUAUAGUUCAUUGUUGGCAUACAGAAUUGAUAAUUAUUUAUAUAUGUUGAUUUUAUAUUCUGUAACUUCACAGAAUUCAUUUAUUAGGUUUAACAAAUUUUUAGUGAAGUCUUGUGUUAGCUUCUCAUUACUUUGACCAAAAUACCUGAGAAAAUGAAAGGAGGAAAGGUUUUUUUGGCUCAUAGUUUCAGAGGUUUUAAGCCUAUGGUUGGCUGGCUCCAUUGAUUUGGGACUAAGGUAAGGCAGAACAUCAUGACCAAAGUGUGUGAUAGAGUAAAGCUGCUCACCUAAUGGUAGUUGGGAAGUAGAGAGAAGGGAAGAGUCUGGGAACAAAAUAUACCCUUCAAAGGCACACCCCAGUCAUCUACUUCAUCUAACCAAAUCUCACCGAGUAUAGUUUUCACCAUCUCCCAAUAAGGCCAUCAAAUUAUUAACCCAUCAAUGUAUUAAUGCACUGAUGGUAAGAACUCUCAUGAUUCAAUCACUUCCCAAGAGCCCCACCUCUGAACAUUGCUGCAUUGGGGACCAAGACUCAACACAAGCCUUUUGCAGGACAUUCCAGAUCCGAUCUAUAGCAAGUCUUCAGGGUUUUCUACUUACAAAUUGUGUCCUCUGAAAGCAGUGACAAUUUGAUUCCCUCUUUCCAAUUAAGAUGCCCUUAAUUUUCUUAUUUUGCCAGAUAGCUCUGGCUAGGUCUUCCAGUACUAUGUUGAAUGAAAGUGGUAAAAAUGGGCAUUGUUGUCUUCUAUAUCUUAGAAAACUUUAUGUUAUUCUCUAUUAGUAUGUUAGCUGUGGGCUUGAUAUGUAUGCCCUUUAUUGAGUUGCAUUUCUUCUAUAUUUAACUUGUUCAGUUUUUAUUAUGAAGGGAUUUUGAAUUUUAUCAAAUCUUUAAUGCAUCUAUCAAGAAAGUUGUAUCAUUUUGUCCUUUAUUCUAUUGAUAAGGUGUAUCAUAUUUAUUGAUUUGCAUAUGUUGAACCAAACUUGCAUCCCUGGGUUGAAUCCCACUUGAUCGUAGUGAAUAAUCAUUUUUUAAUAUUUAUUUUUUAGUUGUAGGUGGACACGCAUAUCUUUAUUUCAUUUUUUUUGUGCUGAGGAUCGACCCCAGUGCCUCACGCAUGCUACAUUUUACCACUGAGCCACAACCCCAGCCUGAAUAAUCAUUUUAAUGUGCUAUUGAAUUCAGGUUGCUAGUAUUUUGUUGAGUAUGUUUCCAUUAAUGUUCAUCGGGGAUAUUAACCUAUAAUUUUCUUCUCUUGCAAUGUUCUUGUCUUAUUUUGGUAUCAGGGCAAUGCUGGCCUCAUAAAAUCAAUUUGUAAAGAUUCUCAUAUCUUCAAUUUUGGGGGGAAGAAUUUGGGAAGGACUGGUAUUUGUCCUUCUUUAAAUGUCUGAUACAAUUCAGAAUGGAGUCAUCUGUCCUUGGAUGGGACAUUUUUUAUUAUUUAUUCAGUCCCAAAACUUACUAUUUGUGUGUUCACAUUUUCUAGUCUUUCAUGAUUCAUUCUUGUAGGUUCUGUAUCUCUAGGUAUUUAUUCAUUUCCUCAAAGUUAUCCAAUUUGUUGGAGUAUAAUUAUUUAUAAUAGUCUCUUACAAUUCUUUGUAUUUCUGUGAUAUUGGUUGUAAUGUCUCAUCUUUUGCUUCUCAUGUUUAAUAUGAGUCUUCUCUUUCUUCUUAGUCUAGUUAAAGAUUUGUUGAUUUAGGUUAACUUUUCAAAAACAAAACUUAAACAUUUUUGUUUUGUUUUCUUUCUGCAAUGGAGGUCUCACUACAAUACCCAGGCAGUCCCAAACUUCUGGGCUCUAAUGAUUUUCCCACUUUAGCCUCCCAAAGUCCUGGAUUUACAAGUAUGUACCACCAUACUUAAAAUUUAUCUCUUCUAUUGUCUUUCUAGUCUCUAUUUCAUUUAUUUCUACUCUGAUCUUUAUUAUUACCUUCCUUCUAUUAACUUUGUGCUUGGUUUGCUCCUUUUCUAGUUCCAUGAGGUGUAACUUCAGGUUGUUUAUUUGAAAUCUUAUUUUUAAAUGUAGGCAUUUAUUGUUAUAAACUUCCCAUUGGAAUGCUUUUGUUGUGUCCAUUUUCAUUUGUCUCAUAUUUUUAAACUUGCCUUUUAAAUUCUUUUUUGACCCAUUGGUUGUUCAGAAGUAUGUUGUUUAACUUACACAUAUUUGUGAAUUUCACAAAAUUCUUCCUGAUACUGAUUUCUAAUUUCAUCCCAUUAUGGUUGGAUCAAUUUUCUUAAAUUUUUAAAGUCCUUUUUUGUGGCUUAACUUAUGAUCUAUCUUGGAAAUGUUCUGUGUACACUCGAGAAAAAUAUGUAUUCUGCUAUUGUUGAAUUGAAUGCUGUGUAUACAUCUGCUAGGAUUAAUGUGUAGUUUGAUCUAAAGUGUAGUUUAAUGUCUUACAUUUCCUUAUUGGAAGUAUAUAUCAUCUGGAUAGUCUGUGCAUUGCUGAAAGUAAGUUAUUGAAGUCCAUUGUAUUAUUGUCUAUCUCACCCUUCAGAUCUAUUUGUGUGCUGAUGUUGGGUGCAUAUACAUUUAUAAUUGUUAUAUCCUUCUGGUGAACUGACCUCCUUAUCAAUAUAUAGUGAUCUUUUAUGUCUUGUUUUAUAGUUUUUGUCUUAAAUUCUAUUUUAUCUUGUUUAAGUAUAACCACCCUUCCUUUAUUUUGAUUUCCAUUUGGAUGGCACAUCUUUUUCCAUUCUUUCACUCUCAGUUUAUAUGUACCCUUAAAUAUGAAAUGAGCCUCAGACACAUCAGAUAAUCGGGCCUUAUUUUUAAAUCCAUUUAGUCACUUUAUGUCUUUUGGUUAGAGAAUUAAGUCCAUUUGCAUUCAGGGUAAUUAUAAAUAGGUAGGGAUUUAUCUACUGCCAUUUGCUUUCUGGUCGUUUUGUGAUCCUUUGUUUUCUUUUUCUUCUCUUGCUGUCUUCCUGAUUAGGUGAUUUUCACCAGUGGCAUUCUUUGAUUCCUUUCUUCUUGUCCUUUACAUAUCUAUUGUCAGUGUUUGCUUUGUUCUUACCAUGAGACUUACAUAAAACAUUUUUUAGUUUUAACAGGCUAUUUGAAGCUGAUGACUUGAGUUUGAUAAUAGAGAAACUUGUACUCUUGUACUCUUCACUUUCCCCACAUUUUAUUUUUUGUGUCACAGUGUACAUGGUUUGUAUUUGAACACCUUAUUGAGUUACUGUAGAUAUUAUUUUUAAUAGCUUUGUCUUUUAAACCUCAUAUCUUGUUUUGGUAUUUUUGUGCAUGAGUAGUUAUUCAAAUCAAUAUUUCUGUAGGAGGAUGAAUACUGGAGAAUCCUACUGCAUCCUCUUACUGAUAUUAGUCACUCAACAUUGGUUAUUAUUCUUAGUUCAGUUAUAGCAUUCUUUUCUUCACUUAUAGCCCAUAUUAAUGCUAAGAUUUGUAUUUGACUUUGCUUUUAAGAAAUGAUUGAACUAUCCUUUUUAAAAAUUCUGCACAUUUUUGCCAGAUUAUAUCAAAGUGAAUUCCAAUGUAUGCAUGCAAGUAUGUGGAUACAUGCAUCUGAUGAGAAGAUGUGAGAAUGAGAAGAAGACCCAGCAUUUAUUGAACAUUAUACCUCAGACACUUUGCUGGUGUUAUUUAUUGUUUGUAAUAGCAAAAACUAACGAGUCUAUUUCUGAAAAUAUUUUUGAAACUAGAUGCAAAAUUUUCUAGCAGAACUACAAACAAUUCUGCUGAAAGAAGGGGCCGUUCAGCCAUCCUCCUGAGGAAUUUGAGCUUGAUUUAAGUCUGAAGUAAAGAUUUGGAUUUAAUUUAAAAUUCUCUGCCAAAGACAUGACCUUCAAAUCUUUUCCAUGAAAUGUCUUUUAGAGCCUGAAAAACAAAUUCAACUCACAUGAGAAUGUAAAUCAAGUGAGAAUAUGAAAUCACAUAUGCUACCUACUGGCUCCAAAUAAGUUUGACAGCCACGUUUAGGUUAUAACAAACUUUGAGAUACCCAAAGAUGACCUUUUAUUUCAAGAUCUGAAAUGAUUAAAUGAUUAAAAUUGCUCUUUAAUAAUUAAAUAUGCCAUCUGUAUAAGACAGAGUGUGACCUUUCACCCAGGGUCUCCCAGGCUGUUCUAGAAUUUCUGCAGUUGGCACAUAUGGUAUCAGAAACCCAGUGCUAUUCUUCCUUUGAAAUAUUAGAGGAGCAGACUUAGAGCAGCUGUUUUUGUGCUGCCAGAUUUCAUUGAAAUGUGGGUUUUAAAAGCUCUUGGCUUGUCAUUUUGAGUUAGCAUACCUUAAUCACAAAUCUCACCAUAAUGUAAUUCAACUGAUGCCUGAAACUCAAUAUAGCGGAACAUUUGCUGAACAAUGCACUUAAUGUAACAAUAGCCAACCAGAAUGUAUGUUUUCCAUUGCAGUGUCCUUUCAUGUUAUAUGUGCCUUCAAAAUAUCUAAUAGAUUAUAAAUAUUCCUUUUUUUAUGGCAACAAAAUGCCAACAAUCUCCAUUACGCUGUUCCUCUCCCCCACUUCAUUGGGAAUAUAUAAGGAAAUACGACAUUUGAAGAGCUAUCUGCUUUAAGAUUUAGACACUGAUAGUACUACUUAAUGCAACCCUGUCAUUAAGCCAACUGCAGUAAUUAGAAAGCCAAUAAUGAGUUCACGUGUCUGUUUGUCUUAAUUGUCAUAUUAGACAACUUCCAUGGUUCAGUGAUCAACACUUACAAUGGUUGGAACAAAGGAAUAUACUGCAAUCACCAUAAACAAUUUCUGUGUGUGUCUGGGAGGUGGGGAUAUUGACCCUGGCUAUAAUAGUACUGGCUAAUUAACCUGGAGUUUUUUUUUUUUUAAAUCUGCUUACUUUCAACAGACUGUUUAUUUAAAAAUUCAACUGAGAGCCUAUAUUUGAGCAUUUUCAGUGUUGACUUUAAUGUCAUUUUUAGAGAUAAACUUGAUUCUUCACUUCCAUUUAAAGUCUUGUGUGGACUUUAAGUCAGACACGAAGUAAGCUAGUCUUAUUUUAAAAUACACUUCACAUUUUAUUUAUAAAAAUCAAACUGUGUGGAAGUUCUUUUAGAAUCUGUUAUUUGAAUUUUUUUCUCACAUAAAUUUAUAGCCAGGAAUCAUGAAAAAUUAUCCCAUUUGCUUUAUUGAAGCAUUUAUUGUACUCAGGAUUGGGAUUCAUUGUAUUGAAUUCCAGGUAGAAUACAUGACAUAAGUUUCAUUUGGCUUUUCUCCCCCCAGGAAGAUUUUAAGUCAUGAAGAUAGAUAAUGAGCAUGCACUCAUUUAUUUAUUUCAAGUGUUUUUUUUUUUUUAAAUGUGUUCCUCCUAUGAUGGGUGCAGGAAUAUUUACUACGCAUGGAUGAGGCAUUUAAGAAGUCAGUAUAUAAAAUAAGUAGCCAUAAUCCAGAAUGAUCGUGUGUAUGUGUAUGUGAGUAUGUGUGAGGAGGGCUGCCAGAGUGGGGAGAGAAGGAAGGAGAAAAGAGGACAAGAAAAUUCAAGGAAGAGAAGAGACAGAGGGCAAUUCCUUUUGUGAGGGGAAAGUAUGCUGGAUCGUCACAUUAAUCCUCUACUCCUAUUUUCUUUCUACAUCUGCCCCACCCUGCCCUUUGCAGAUCAUAUUACCUGAGAUUCUUUGCCCUCUGGCUUUGGGAGGACAGAUAGCAGGAGAAGAGAGGUCAUAGUAGUUACCCCUACUCUCUUAGCCACUUACUUCCUCUACCUUGUAACCACGGUUCCUGCUGGGCAAUCCUUAGGUUGUCUCUCAAUUUCACCUCUCCACUCUUAACUUUGUCCUCCAGUUCCAGGGCUGAGAAGAACCCCCCUUUCUUGUUAGUGCCUGGUGCUUUGCCAUCCUUUGUUCUUAUUACUCCUGCCAUACCUACAAGUGUGUUUCAUCCCUUCAUUGAAUUUUCUUCAGUUAACCCUCCUGUAUGGUCAGACUGACACAAACACAGAAUGUCCAAGAGGGUGAUAUGGAGGUCACUGUACUUUCCCAUUUUGAACAUACACAUAGAGGAGAACAAAGCUGGACUAAAACAGGCCAUUUCUGUUGCUACCAACAGAGGGCAUCGGUAGACAUGCUCAGACAUUUACAGCAAAUUGUUCUUUCCUUGAGUCUGUUGGCUACUUCUUUCUCUUUUAAACAAAUACCAACUCUUAUCUAUACCUGAUAAAUGCCAAAUCAGUGAAAGUGUUGAAAAUCGUUAUAAUAGGUAUUCAUUUGCUUAUGACUAAGGCAAAAACAGAGAUUACUUGAAAAAAAAAACACAGGGGGGAAAAAACAGAUUUCAGGUGAAUGAUUUUUUUUUUUUUUUUCACAGUAGCUACUCUGAAGGACAAAGAGUAAAUCAAAUGAUGACAGAAAAGUAUUGUUCCUGUUGUGGACUGAAUUGUGUCCCCUGCCAAAUGCAUAUGUUGAAGCCCCAACCCCCAAUAUGACUGUAAUUGGAUAUAUGGCCUUUAUAGAGCUAAUUAAGAUUACACAGGACUUAAGAAUGGGACCCUAUUCUAAGGGGACUGGUGUCCUUAUAGGAAUAAAAGGAGAAACCAAGAGUGGGUGUGCAUAGAGGAAAAGCCAUGUGAGGACACAGAAGGGCUAUCUACAAUUCAAGGAGAGAAGCCUCAGGAGAAAUCAGCAUUGCUAGAACCUUGAUCUUGGAUUUCUAGUUUCUAAAACUAUGAAAAAUAAAUCUCCAUUGUUGAAUACCAUGUUUGUAGUGAUAUUUCUUCUGGUACCCUUAGCAUACUAAUCAAUGACCAAUUAGUCCACAAUAGACUGAGGCAAUGGAAAAAAAGUUAAUUAUGUGUGGGUAAAUGAUUGCCUAGUUUUUUCAGAAUGUUUCCAUCAGUAUUUGUGUUUGGGUCCUUUAAGAAUCAUCUGCUAAAAUGGAAUUAGAAGUUUAUUUCUUGAGGAAACAGUUGGAAAAGAUAAAGGGGAGGGAACUAGUGACGGUGAAGAGAAACUUCAAACAGCAAUGCAGGUCUGACACAUAUGAAAGACAGAAGAAAUAAGAUUGACUUGGUAGUUUCAGGGUACAGAACAGUUCCAAGAAAGUUUCAAACAGAUUGAUGGGAGUCCUCACACCAAAAUAUCCCAUUGAAGGCAUUUUACAUUAGUAUCCCUGUCAUUUUUAGUCUUGACUGACAGCAGCUUAUAGGAAGCAUGGCCUUGGCAUGAAUUUAGUGGAGAAAUCUGAAGAACAGCAGCUGAGGUUGUGAGUCACUUAUGUUUUGAUAUGGACAUUUUCACGGCCAUUAUCCCAUAAUAUCAAGAUGGCUUUUAACAGCUAUGGAGACUGAAUUCUUCCAAGUUUGAACCCAGGGGAAGACGGUUUCUUUGUCCCAGCAGUCCUGGCAAAAUCCCUGAGAUUGUCUUGAAUUGGACUGUUUAUGUCAUGUGCCCAUCCUUGAAUCAUCAUGGUGCUGGGAAAAUUCUAAGCCCUGUUUAUUCAGGUUAAUUUUCAUGCUCUACUUCCAAGGAAGAAGUUGUAGCCCACUCGUACCAUGAGAACUGAGGAGUAGUGAGAGACAAAUUUCCCUAAUAAGUACAUUCCCUAUACAGAAUACAGGUGUUUUUUUUUUUGUUUUAAUUUUAAUUUGCUACCAGGUUACUUUGCAAAGACACUGUAGCAAUUCAUAGUUUUACCAAGGGCUAUCAUGAUCCUUUCCCUCCCACAUCUUCACCAGCAAUAUGUGUUAGCAUUUUUAAAUGUUUGUCUAUCUGGUGGAUGCAAAUGGAUUGUUCACCGUUACUCAAUUUAUAAUUUCCUAGUACUGGUGUUUAAUUUUUUUUUUGCAUUAUUUAUUCCUGAUUUGGUUUUGCUUUCCUGCAGAAGGCCUCUUUAAAUCCCUUGUGCAUUUUCCUAUUUUCUUUUUGUUGUUGUUGUUCUUGUCAGUUUAUAAGAGUACUUUUCAUAUUGUAGCUAAUAGUCCUCUAUCUGUUCUCUGCAUUACAAAUAGGCAAGGGACAAAUAGUUGAACUCUAUGCAUUUCUUUACUUUCUCCAUAUUUAUUGUCAAUAUUUGAUCCAAUUGCCCCCAAAUUAAUAGAUCAAUAUGCCAGGAAUGUGUGGGACAACUCUAUCAUUCUUUAUUUUAGUUUUCAGUACUGGGGAUUGAAUUUAGGGGCACUCUGCCACUGAGCAACAUCCCCAGCCCUCUUUAUCUUUUAGUUUGAGAGGGGGUCUCAGUUGCCCAGGCUGGCCUGUAGCUUGCCAUCCUCUUGCCUUACUCUCCCAUGUGGCUGACAUUACAGGUAAGCACCACGACCCCCAGCUCACUGUUCAUUUUUGAAAAAUGGAAAAAAAAUAAGCAGUGGUCAAGGACAAAGUUCUAUCAGCCACCCCUCCACACUCCUGCUGGACUACUAUUGCUCAAAUUUCAGCCAUUUUGGAACCUCCUUUCCAAUUCUUGCCAUAUCCUUAAACUAUGUACUGUUAUUUGUAUUUCUGACAUUUGAUUUUUUUAUAUAGAUUUAUUUUAAAAGGAAGUUCGCAUUGCUUCCAUUAUAUCAUUGUAAUACUAGUUAUAUUAAAAUGAUUACAAAGCUGUGGAAAAAGAUAUUCAUCUGCGUAGCACCUAAUACACACUGUACACUGAUUGGGAAACCCAUUAGAGUACAUCAAGAGGGUCACCAAACUAGUUAGGGACAAGAUGGAGGGUUUUCAGAACUGCAAGUUUCACACCAGCACUACAUCUCACCCCCAUGAGGUGGGCGUGGGUGGUGGGUUCAUUUACAUCAGAGGAAAGGCCACCAGAAAGGCGCAACUGCUUCACACGCUGUGGGUAGUGGAAUUAGAAUCAAGGCCUUUGUCAAAAAAUAACAACUUCUGAAAAAGAUGUGGACUUUGUAGGUAAACAGACCUAGAUCAAACCCAGGGGAUGCACUGUACGGGGGUCCAGGGGCCUGGAAGCCCUAGCCGAAUGCCCACGAGGAUUACAUUACCAACAUUCGGCAUUCUGGCCAAACUAUUAGGGGUUCUAAGAUUCUGCUAAUUAUGCUGAGGUCCAGGCUGGGAUGGGGAGGUGUCAGGAUCCCGGGCAGUGAUGGGUCACAAUCCCUGAGCAGAGUCCGCCUGUGCAAACCCUCACCCAGGGACGGCUACACUCCCACUGGCUAGAGUCGCCAGGCCUGAGGAGCCAUGUGCUGGCCGAGGACAUGGGGCCAGAUCUUCCUGCCGGUUUUACUUUCCCUCUUUCUAGUCCAACUGCUUAUCAGCUUCUCAGAUAAUGGUUUUUCCCAAAUGUACAGAAAAAGAAAGGAGGAGAAACAGAAACGAAAGUCUUCGAUUGAAGAAGGUGAGUGCACCGGACCUGAGGCAGUCUUUCCGGGACUGAGCUGUCCUAGCUCACUAAAAUGUCCAUCUCAGGAAAACUUCCACGUGGGGGCUGGGGUUGUGGCUCAGUGGUGGAAUGAUUGCCUAGCGCGUGUGAGGCACUGGUUCGAUCCUCAGCACCACAUAGAAGUAAAUAAGUAAAAUAAAGGUUUUGUGCCCAUCUACAACUUAAAAAAAAAUAAUCUUUUUAAAAAUUUCCAUUUGAUAUUUGGGCAAAGUCACUUUUAAAGGCUAGACAUUUUUGGGAGAAAACCCUAUUAAAUUGUACUCGAUUUGCUUUGUGGAUUAAAACAGGUUUAAAUUUGGGAAAGGGAUGUUUUUCUCCUUCUUUUGGCAUGACCUACAUAUAUCACAUAAACUUUAUGCUCUGAAUAAGCUGCUGAAAUUUAUUCUAAAAAGACCACAUUCAAUGACCAUAAUGGCUCCUUUUCCUUAAUGUUCUAAGUUCUUAGCUAAUAAAUUGCUUAAUUUGUUGUCUUUUCCCCCUCUUAAGAACUAAUUAUUUCGCUUUGAAAGCUUUCCUUUGUUUUCCUUCCCAACUGAAGAAAUUUUGAAAUGUUAAAAGUCAUGCUGAGUUGAAUUCAUGGACCUCAAAAUAAGGUUUAUAAUAUCUUAAAUUGGAAUUGUAUAGAUAGAAUAGAGAGAGAGAAUUACUCAGAAAAUCUUGGCCCUAUAAAGCCAAGAUUGCCAUUUUUAGGAAGACAGAAUAAUUACUGCUGUCUCAUUUCCAGAGUAUAAAAGAAUGCUAGCUAUGUGUAAGCAAAUCAGUCUUCCUUAUUAAAACCCAACCCACAGCUCUCAGCUUUGUACUGAAAUAAGAAUCUCCUUUGAGGGGGAGGGAGAGGGGAUGGGCAAAGACUGAAUCAAAGAAACUAUCUUGCUUCCUGUGUCUCAUUUUCUCCAUAGAUUUUUUUAUGCUCUUGAUCACUUCUAAACACAAUCCUAAACUGUGUUCCAGUGUCACUCUGGCCCCUUCUUAUAAACAUCACCUAGGAGCCUAAACCAAAGGGUAGAAACAAAUCUUUUCCUUGGUUGCCUAGCAAAAGGAGUCAUACAUACAGUGGAAUUUUUCAAAAGACUUUAUUAAAAUGCUGAAGAAGAACAACAACAAAAAAAAAAGUAAACAGACAAAACGAAUUUAAAAAUCACAGAUAACAGUCUGGUCUCCAGAGAUGAAAGUUUCUGAUUCUAGCUAGCUCAGCUGUAGGGCUGACCAACCCUGGUCCUUGCUUCUGAGGAAACAGCUUGAGUCAGCAAGUCAGGAGCUCCCAGAGAGUUUGCCUCCUAGCCUCAGGCAGGUUCCCCAUUGUGCUUGCACUUAACUUUCCCAUUUAACAAGGAUCUGGAUUCUUAGACAUCAUACUUUUCAUUUCCAACACCUAGAAACCCUCACUGAAAUCCUCACCUACACUGCUACUUGUGCUCUGAGUGACAGGUAACAGACAAGACUUUGUAGCAUUUCCCAUCAAGCCUUGAGUUUAGGUAAAUAUUUACUAAAAAGUGGCUUAGUUUAGUGACUGAAGUUGAAUUUUCAGGUUUAAGUAUUUCUGCCCCUAGCAGAAAUAGAAUUUGGGCCUUAUGCAGAAAUAUGAUAAAAAAACAAUUCUGGUAUUGAAAGGCCUGGAUCAAAUUCUACCUCUUCCAUGAUGCCUUCCUUGAUCUACCCAGUCUGAGUGAAUAGUUGAUUCUAUAUUUAGCUGUGCCUCUUUGACAAUUCCUAUUUCAUUCUGAAAGGCAGACCAAUGGCAGAGAUGAAAGGACAGAGGCUCUUAAUGCCUGGACUCACGGCCCAGCUUCGUCAUUUGCUAGGCCCAUAUAUACCAUGGCAGUUUUGUUAUCAGUAAAAUGAGAAUAGUGUCAUCCUCAAGUUGUCACUGUGAGGCUCAAAUGAGUUCAUACAUAUUAUGCAUUCACAAAACUGGUGCAUGUAAGUGCGUGUCUAGUUUUGGGGGGAAAAAGAUGAGGGCAAUAAGAAUCCCUGAAAAACAAAAAGCAAUUGAGACCAGACCGAUGGAAAAAAAAAAAUCACAAAUAGGAGAGGAUUAAAGUCCUUACAAGGCCAGCAGCUGUAAAUACAAAGAACCUUAGGGAAUAUGUAGAGCAACUUGUCAAGUAAUCUUGGAGCACUACUGCUGAUUGCCCCUCCACUUUCAAUUGUCUUAAGCAGCAGACAGUAGAAACAGCAGAGGCAACUACCCAUUAUUAGCAAUGAAUGUAAAUUCUUGGCCUAGAAAGCAAGCAAAAGAUAUAUAUGAUCUGCCUGGUACAGUGGUACACACUUGUAAUCCUUGGUUCCUAGGAGGCCGAGGCAGGAGAGUUGCAAGUUGUCUAUUUUUUCCAUAAGAAUAAAAAUCUUUAUUUGGGGUAACUUUUUAAAACUUUGGGCCAAAGAGUAUGGAGAAUUAUACUUUUUCAAUAGUUAAGAGACUAAUUAGUUAACCAGGAAUGUGUUGGCAAAAUUAUGCUGAAUAACAAAAGAGUUACUUAAAAGAGGUUUCUGAAGUAUGAUGUUGUAAAUAUACAAUGAUGUUCCAAUUUGUUUUUUCAUAUUUUUGGGGGGAAGUUGUUUUUUAGAACUUGGCUAAUGGAUGUGGGAUGAUGCCAUUUCUUGUUUUUUUGAGUAGCAGGAGGAAAUUACAGGAUUUAAACAGUGCUGGUGGGAAAAGUAUCUGGCUAUGUGAAAAUAACGAAGUAAAAUGUUUUCAUAUGGAUGAAUAUGGCUUGAAAGAGGAAUGACUAAAUGAAAUGCACUUUUUUAUAAAGUUGAGCAAUAAAUAGGCUUUUGAUUUACAUUUUUGUACUUAAUUUUUUUUUCUUGUAGCAUGUACUCAAAAGAAUAGUUGUCAGUUGUGCACAGAAGAUAAGAAAGUAAGUUAACUUUCUUAUGAGGCAAUUGUCUUGGGAAUGUUAUAAAUUCACACAUUUAUAAUUGUCAUCAAAAAGCUAUGCUAAAUGUUGUUUUAUACACUUUUUUAUAAAGGAAUAACUAAUAACAGUUACUAAAAUCUAUUUCUCCAUUUCAAAUCAUGCUUUGAGAGUCUAGAAAUAAAUAAUAGAAAUAAUUUAGAUGGAAUAUGUACUUUCUUCUAGAAUAUUAUAUUUUAGAAAGAAAACAAUUCUUGGCUUGAAAAAGAAAAUCACACUGAAAUUUUGGAAGAAGUUUUGGAAGAAAAGAAAAUAUGUCUUUUGAGAUUCAGUGAAUAUUUCCUUGCCAAUUCUAAUCCCUAAAUAAUAGAGUGUGACACACAGUUCCUAAGUGUAGCUAAGGUCCUCUUCUCUGAUGAUUAAAUGUCUGACAUCUUUAUUCUUCACUUCAGAUUUGGAAGAAAUUAGAAAUACCAGAGGCAAUGGGGGAAAUGGUAUUACUUGUGCCACAGAGAGCUUUGCAGCAACCCUUACAAAACCAUUCUAGUCUAAUCUAUAUUGGAGAAUUGACUAUUAACACCAAAGACAGAAGAAAAAACUCUAAUUAGCAAAGAGGACAUUCUAGUAAUUGGUAUCUGUCAUGGUGAUCUGCACAUACCACGAUGUGCCUCUUAUCUUCCUCCAGGUCACUCUUCUGCUUUAAUGAGGACUAGAGCUUCUUCUGGCUCAUGGAAUUCUUGGUCCAGUUUAUUCUCGGCCUUGGAAACUUUCUGAAGCCAGAAAAAGCUAGAAACACUCUAUCUCAGUGUCUUCACCUUCUCAACACCAUGCAUAGGAUAUCACUAUAGGAUAUCACUUCCACCACAUACUCUGAACCCUGCACAAUUUACACUGAACAUCACUUUCCCAUUUCCCAACAUGGUACCUACUCUUUGGACUUAACAAGAAAGAGUACUUUUCAGUCCUUUCACCCUCUCCUUUUUCCUUCAAGGUUAUUGACUCUUUCUUAAUGGACUUCCUUCCUUCCUUCCUUGUGAAUUUUCAUGGCUGUUCACCUGGAUGAGUAUUCUCCUGCUUUUUCAUUGCUAAAUAUUUUACACUGGAAAUGUUCAUGUAUAAAAAUAGAGAAAACAGAGCUAGGCACUAUGGUGUGUGACUAUAGUCCCAACUACUUGGGAGGCUGUGGCAGGCGGAUCACUUGAGCCCAGGAGUUCAAGGCCAGCCUAGUAACAUAGCAAGACCCCGUCUCAAAAACAACAAUAACCUGGCAUGAUGGUGCACUCCUAUAAUCCCAGCGGCUUGGGAGGCUGAGGCAAGAGGAUCAUGAGUUCAAAGCCAGCCUCAGCAAGUUAGCAAGGCCCUAAACAACUUAGUGAGACCCUGUCCCUAAAUAAAUUAUUUAAAAAGGACUGAAGAUGGGUUCAGUGGUUAAGUGCUCCUGGGUCCCUGGGUUCAAUCCCCAGUGCCAAAACAAAAACCUAACAAAAAGUGUACAUAUAUAUAUACACACAUACAUAUAUAUAUGUAUACACACACACGUGUGUGUGUGUGUGUGUGUGUAUGAGAGAGAGAAUAGUAUAAUAAAAUUUUAUACAUCCUAUACCUCCAAGAAUUAUCUCAGUCAACCUUGUUUCAUCUAUGCCCUCCCUCUCACAAUUGAUUAUUUUGAACUAAAUAAUGAUGUAGAUACCAUAUAAUUUAUUUGUAAAUAUAUAGGUAUGUAUGUCUAAUACAUAAGGUCUUUACUUUAAAAUAUUACAAGUCCAUGAUCACACCUAGAAAUUAACAGUGACUUCUUAAUAUCAUCAAGUUCCCAGGAAAUAACCAAUUAGCCUUGUUUCAUGUUUUUGUUUAGUUCAGAUAUAUAUGCUGAAACUGACUGCUAUAUAACUUAAGUUUCUUUUAAACUAUUUAUUCUUUUCCCUCUUUUUUUUUCUUUAUUACAACUUAAUUGUAAUAAAGAAGAAGCUGAAUUGUUUGUCCCAUUGGGUUUCCUACAGUCUGGGUUUUGCUGAUCACAUCCAGGUUCCUCUUUUUCCUGAUUUUUUUUCUUGGUACUAAGGAUUAAAUCCAGGGCCUUGCAUAUGCUAGGCAAACUGUCUACCACUAAACUAUGCCCCUGGCUCUUUUUAGUUUUAUUUUGAGACAGGAUCUCCUUAAGUUGUGCAGGCUGGCCUUGAACUUGUGAUCUUCCUACCUCAGCCUCCUGAAUAGCUGGGAUUACAGGUGUUCUCAGCUGUUCUGUUCUUAUAAACUGGUAAUUAGAUAUAGAGGAUUAAUAAAGUUCAGUUUAAUUUUUUGGCAGGAAUAUUUCACAUUGAAAACUUUUAUUGAAUGGUGAAUGAGGACUGUUGUUUAGCAUUUGAUGAUGCAAGCAGCCAAAAAUGAUUCUUGCCUGGAUCCAUUUUAUUCUUGGGGGUUGCAGCAACAAAUACUACUUUAAUAGCCUUGCCCUCUUAUUUUUAACUGUGCUGGAUCUAUAUUUCCCAGCUCUGAUGGGUCCUUCAGUCUAUGUAUUCAUUUACUGUGCAUUUUUGUUAGCUGAUUGCUGCUCAAGCAUAUAUCAUGAGAAUCUGCAUUAGUACCAUUACAAAUUCACAAUUUCUGGGUUCACCUGAGCCCAAAUGCUACUCAGUACUUGCCUUUGGUUGGCAGCGUUUCCUAAAAUUCCCCAUAGCAGUAAUUUCAAAACUUUGUGACCAUCUUUAAAGGUCCAAUCUUAUCCCACACCCCAUUAAUCUACAUAAAAAUAGAGACUUUAGGUAUAAACUUCACUCCCCAAAUCAAUACAUUUACUGUCAUUUUUUUACCCACCCUUACCAUUCCUCUUAGAAGAUUACUCCUUCUGUUCCCCUACACCUCUCUUUUGAACUUACAUACAUUUUUAAAUUGUAACUUGUAUCAUAUAAAUUGUUUUUGUUCUCACUUUCCCUCUGUUCUCAGUUCCCUGGACUGUCUAUGUUUUAGUCAUCUUUGCAUCUGUAACACUUCACAUAUUUCCUAGCACCUGCAAGCAUUCAGUAACUACUGAAUUAACUCAAGCCAUUAGAAGAAGUUAAAUUACAUUUAGUACACUGUAUAAUGGAAAAAGGUCGAUAAUUUUAUCCUAAAACUUUUCUAAACGUAAGUGUCUAUAUGGCAAUUCUGGGGAUAUAUGUAUUUGAAUGUAGUUUUUAAAAUAUUACCAGUACCUCAUAGAAAUUAACUGAAGGAUAAUUCCCAUAGUCAACAUAGAAUUAGGGUAUCAUCUUUUGAAAAAGAUUCCCUGUCCUCCCCCAAUUUGGAAGGACACAGGCUUUCACUGACAGCUCUUGCCACCUCCCAUACUCCCAGAGAGUGCCAGGAUUUAUAGAUGGUAAUUCAUGAAGCAACCAAGAAUACUUGAGUUCUUCUUGGACUAAAAAAAGGAUGAACAGAUGUUGUGAUAUGUCUGGGACUGUCCUACUUUAUGUCCUUUGCUUCAUUGACCCAGAGAAAUUAUUUAUACCCACUGCUAGUUUCCCAAAGUAUUCUACUUAGAAUGAUAAAUUAUAUGCUUAUCUUUCUUAGCUGUAAGAGAAUAUUAACUGGAUCCAAUCUAAAACUUUUCCUUGAAAUUAAAAAGUGUAGGCAGACCUUCUUAAGAGUUAGAAUAUAUUCUUACCAAAACCAAAUCCACAAAAAAGCAACUCAUUCAUAACCCUACCUCACAACACAUUAGUCAUAAAUACACCACGUGAAAAGAAAAUUUUUGUUGAUAUAUUCUCCUCCAUUAUUAAUAAAAUUUCUAAAGCCAUACUGACUAAAACAGGCUAAACACUGCUUUACUUGGAUCCUCAUUGCUAUUUAGAGUUGUUAUGCAUCACUGUGAAAUCCUUUAAAUAGUUAUUAAUUGUGAUGUUACAAUGGUGAGACUGUCAUAAAUAAUUUUUAUUUUUUGCUAAUGAGAGUUAUAUGACUGAGUUUUGCAACUGACUUUAAAAAUAAGAGUAGAUCCUAGGCUUUCUUCAUAAUCAAAUCUUUCUACUUAUUGCAUCCUGAUAUGGAUUAUUAGGACAGAAAGGUGUGAAGUUACAACAAACCUAAUGGACUUGUGAAUCUCCCACAGUCUACCUUAUCUAUUUAAUAGUUCAAAUAAAAUGACCAUGUUUGUAAAAUAUAAAUGCCACAACUCCUACCCAACAACGAUACCCAUUUUGUUAUCUAUUUUUCUUUAAAAGUAUGUGUACAUAGGCACAGAUGCUUGUGAUAGUUAGGACAUGGGGUAGGGGAAGGUGAAUAGGGCUAUGGAUCCAAAUCUGGAUAUGCCAGUGUGUAUGUGGGUAUCACCUGUCAAAAGUCCCUAGGUGGAUGGGGUGGGAACCAGUCUCAAGGAUUAUUUUCCAUGGCACUAUUCCCAACACCUUCAACACCUUUCCUUAAUCUUGGUACGACACUUCUUCUGAAGUUUGAUUUUCCUUGAGAAUGUUAAGGCCAUUUGUCAGGCUCAGGUUCUAUUAUUAUUAUUAUUAUUAUUAUUUUCACCAACUCAAUGUCUUUUCUCUUACUCUUUCCCUUUAAGAAACCUAUUUUCAUUCCCAAGGCUAACCUCUUAGUCUUUGCCUCAUGCAAGCAUUCCACUCAGAAACAUGCACAUUCACAAACUCAAAGCCUUUCUCAUUUUCUUGUUGCCUCUCUGACAAAUCCAGUCUAAAUCCAGUCUCUGCAAUGUCUUUCUUUCUGAGUUCUGACAAAAUGUGGUGGUGGUGGUGGUGGGGGGGGGGACACACACACAUUAAAAAAAACCACUUUUUUUUUUAAUAGCUAUAGUAUUUAUUCUACCACUGCUUGUCAUGCAGUGUGACUGAAUAUUUAACAAACUGUUUUAAAGGUUACCAAAAAACUCUCUAAAACCCUAAUCUUUCUAGUUAGGCACUCAUCAUUCUGGAAACUUGCUCCUUCCCUGGUGAUCUUCACUUUAUGCAACUACCCUUGCCAACCCUUCUUAUUUAUAUUUCUACCUGAGAGCACAUCCUAGUACUGUGUCCUCAUCCCUGUGCUAUCCCAACUGGUCAUGGCUUCCAUGAUUAUGUAAGUAUCAAGAAACCCCAAAUUCAUGUUCUUAGAUCUAACAGCUCCUGGUAGUCAUGAUUACAUUGCUUGAUCAACAAUUAUUCUUGGAUAAUUUCUUUUAUCACCUCAAGCUCAAGGUAUCUAAAGCUAGAUUUAUGAUUUUGUCUCCCACAAAUAUGCUCAUUUCCCAUAUUUAUUACUGGUACCAUUCUCCAUACCCAUAUAAUAAUUUUAGAAAUCUCUAGCUCCUUUGUCUUCUUUAAAGAAUCUAUGGUCCAUUCUUUUCUUUCAGCUGAUUGCUGGACUUCCCACACCCCUAUCCCACUACUGCUUAUCCCUCCAGGCCCUUUUGGUUUAUUGUUGUCAUUUAACACUCUUUCAUGUUCACCUUUAGCUGCAAAUAAUUCAGUUAUUAAGAUGAAAUGCUCCUUAUUCUAACAUUCAGGACCCAUCACAAUCCAAGAGAAGAUGAUCCUUCCAAAUUAUUCUAUACAACUCCACCAUAGCAGACUUUCCCUCUUGCCAUGUGGCAAGAUUUUCAUGCUGUCAUAUCUUCUGUAUUCAAGUCCCUCCUUUUCUGUACACAUUUGACCCACUCCUCAAAACUUAGGCCAACCUCUCCUUAUUCUUUGAAAGAAACCUGUGUAGUCACUCCAGCUAAAAGUGAGCUCUCCUCUUAAUUCCUAUUACAUUUUGUACAUGUUCCAACACUUUGAGAGAAUAUUCUUCCACUUAGAAUUGUAUGUAAUUUUGUAAAGUGUACAUAUUUUACCCACCCAUUAAAUUGACCCUCCAGAAAACAAAAACAGUGCUUUGUACACCUGUAAUCUCUUCUGCAUCUAACAUUUGCCAAUAUAUAUCCUGUAAAUGCUCUUUUUUGUGUUCAGUGUCCACUGUUUUCAAAUCCCCCUUUGCAUAAUAAUACUCAUUUUCUAUUUCUUUGCCAAUAUAAUAUUAAGCCAUUUUAUACAAUGUUAACAAACUACUAAACAUAAUUGUGUACCUUCCCCUUUUGCAAUUUUUUAAUUUCAGUGAUAUUUCUUCAUAAAAUAGAGAUUUCAAUGUCCAUAUAAGCUUACUAAAACAGGCUUAUACCCUAAAUUGGGUACUCUAAUUUUCCUAAAGGGCAAUUAUAAUAAUUACCCUAAAGCCUUUCAGCUGGCUUCUCAGUUGUUACACUAAUAAGAGAUGGGAGGUUGGUAAGAACUCAUAUAGGUCUUCUUCCUUACCUACAAGAGAAAGAUCCUUGUAAUUUGUCCUAAAUUAUACAUUACCAGUCUCAGGAUGUUGAAUAUGUUAUAAUUUUCCUCUGGACAAUGAGUAUGAAGUUGUCAUUUUUGAGGACAUUUUAGACUUAGUCAAGAUAGUUAAGGUAUCACAUUUUUGUUGUGGUAAGUGGGAGAAGCCAAUGCAAACUAAUUUAAUCAAAAGGGGAAUUCACUGGCCCAAAAAAUUGGGUAGCCUUAUUUCAUGUUCAGUUGAAUCUCAAAGGAUAUUAUUUGCAUUUCUCUUUCCUUUCCUCUCUCCUGUGUAUUGACCUCAUUUUCUCCCACAGUAAAUGGACAUUCUCCAUACAGCUGUAGAAGAGGCUGGCUGCCAGCAAAUAUCUCCCAAUGUCUGUAUAUAACUCUGAAGAAGAAUAUAAUUGGCCAUAUUUGGACCUAUGUUCAGUCCAGCACUAGCUACUGGGCCAAAGUCUAUGCUACUCUUGAGUGCCCUGGUCAAAUGACCACUCUAAUAGUAGGAAAUGGGUAAGGCAAAGAUGACUGACAGCUAGCUGCAGGAUCAUACAGAAUUAGGGAAAGAGUUUCACAAAGGAUAAGGGUAUGAUUAUCAGAAAAAGGAGAAUAGGAAUGCAAAACAGAGAAUAUUUUAAAAGAAAAGGAAUAAAACUACUUCAAUCUAUGGUAUUUCACCCUUUUCCCGGUCAGAGUAUGAGUAUUUUAUUUUCUUCAUUUCCAUAUUUUGAAAAGUGCUCCUAGAAAAUUAAUGCCACUAAGUCUCAACUAAAAUUGGACUGACCUCAAGUCACUGUCAAGGUCUAAGUCUGGAAUCUCAGAGAGAUGUGUUACUCUUGAAUUAUGCUUGAAUAUGGCUCCUUAGGCUUUGUUCCUUUGAGUCAGAAUCAGUUAAAUCAACUCCCAAAGACCCAAUAUUCAAUAGAAAAGAGAAAGCAGGAUAACAACAGUAAAACCUCUCAUUUAGAAGACACCAUAGUAGUCAGUGGUCCUGUAUCAUUUUGAGUCUAUAAUAUACUCUGUUGAGUUUCCCUGGCUGAGAAGUGAGUUGGUUGGUCACCAGUCAGUCUGCCCCACGCUUGGUCUAUUGAAACAGCUCCCUUUUCCUUUUCCAGUGUUCUCAGGGACCCAGUAGAGAGAAGUAUAGGAAAGAAAGCCUUCUCUGAGCACUGUGCCGCUAUCAGAGCUUCCCUGCUGUAGACUAGGUUACUGGAGCCUGGGAAUCAGCUCAGCAAUUGAGUUACCACAUAUUCCUCUCUGCUGGGUUCAAGUUUAUUCUGGAAAUUUAUCUUCCUUAAAACUCUGCUAGAUGGAAUGGGCUUGAUUUUUCAAAACUCUGAGAACUAACAACCAAGACUAGAAGUCUCUCUAUAAGAUAGUCCUUGAGGGCUGGGGUUGUGGCUCAGUGGUAGAGCACUCGCCUUUCAUAUGCGAGACCCUGGGUUCGAUCCUCAGCACCGCAUAAAAAUAUAUGAAUAAAAUAAAGAUAUUGUGUCCAACUACAACUAAAAAAUAAAAAAAUGGAUAGUCCUUGAAUCUAGGUCUUAUCUUUGCAGUUUCAGUCUUUAAGCAAUGGUCUAAGAAUACAGGACCCAUUCAGCCUUAGUGGCUUCCAUCCAAGAUUUGCUUAAAUGACUUGACCUUUGAUCUUGACCAACAUGAAAAAAAAAAAAAAAAAACUUUAGCCAUCUCUUGUUCUCAAGCAGUGUGUCUGGGGUAGUUCUUUACAUUGGGUGAAUCAUUACCUUUCCUGGUUUUAGGAUGUAUAGCAAGAGGUGAUUGGAAGGGACUUGGAACCACUCUUACAGAAUUGGUUACCAGCACAGAGCCAGGCUGCUUAGCUUCCAAUACAAACUCUCCUAUUUACUAGCCCUGUGACCAUAUUGUAUAAGUCAUGUAGUUGCUGUGUGCCUUAUUGUCCUCAUUUAUAAAGUGGACAUAAUGGUAUCUAGCACACAAAGUUUUCAAAAGGAUGGAGUGAGAAUGCGUGAAAGACAGAACAAUACCUGUCACAUGGUAGUUCCUAUGUGACAGCCAUUUUUACCACUCUGUCCUUUUUUUUCUUUUUUUUCAACUGUUUCUUAUAAUAGUUUCUAAUAAUAGUUUUCACCAUUGUGCCUUUUUUUCAUUUACUUCAGCAAGGGACUUCAGCUUUCUUAUUUACACAUGAUUACUUGACCACCAAUGAGCAGAAGGCAGAGGGAGGUGAGAUAAGCCUAAUUGAUAACACCACCAGGGCCAUGGUAACAGAGAAAGAUUCCCCAGAGGAAAGAGUGGUUUCUGCAGACAAGGGGAAUAGGAGAGUAUUGGAGACAUUUUUAAAAACUAUCUAAUGCAGCCCUUAUUACUGCUUUGUGACAUAGUAUCUUGGGUUUAAAUGCAGAGUCUGAGAAAGGGAUCCAGAUCCAUGCAAUUUUUCAGUGGCUGUUCAUUAGCAAAAUCCCAUGAAGAUAUGAAGGAUUCAGGAAAACAAGGGAUGAGAGCCAAGAAAAGAUAGGGUCUCAGCUAAAGCCCACAUUUGCCCUGAAUCAUGGACAGCUUUUGAGGAAAAAGAAAAAAAAAAUCAGGGGCUGGGGCUAUAGCUCAGUGGUAGAGCACCUGCCCCUCAGGUGUGAGGCACUGGGUUCAAUCCUCAACACCACAUAAAAAUAAAUAAAUAAGGAUAUUGUGUCCAUUUACAACUUAAAAAAAAUCACAUAGCAGAAUUGUCCCUGACUUAGGCAAGGAUGCUUAUGGUUUUGAACUCCAUACCAGUCAGUUACUGGUCCAGGGUGAGGAUAAUCUCAAGAGCAAGGUGAUCCUCAUCUACCAAGGGGAGUCAAUCAAGAGCAGGGAAAUUUGUGAGUCAAUCACAGACAAAAUUUAUUGCAGCUGAGGUUUGAGUGCUUGGGCCUGGUAAAGAAGACAUGGGAAGGCCACCAAUAACAUGUACUACAAAUAAUAAAUCAUGACGAUGAUGAUGGCUGUUAUUUAUUGAAUACUUACUGUGAUUGGAUUAUAAUAUGUGGACACUGCUUUGAUUAUUAUUAUUUUCUUUCUAAAUACAGUGUAUUUGGUGCAAUGAAGAAAAGGUUUGCAAAAAAUUUUGUUUUCCAUUUGCUGGGUGUCCAUUCAAUUCUAUAUUUUGGUCAAACUGUAAAGGUGAGUUUUCCUUAAAUUUAUAUGUACUUUAUUCCACCAACUUGCAAGUAGUAGUGAUUUGCUAAUUUGAAGCAUUUAAAACUAUCCUAUUUACUUUAUUAAAACAGCAAAUCCAGG
RNAcentral lists this long non-coding RNA (33576 nucleotides) under Marmota monax (woodchuck). The stretch from base 31710 to 31778 matches the Rfam family "tRNA". The record is from RNAcentral. Lineage: Eukaryota; Metazoa; Chordata; Mammalia; Rodentia; Sciuridae.